RNAcentral lists this ribosomal RNA (504 nucleotides) under uncultured bacterium. RNAcentral describes it as "partial 16S ribosomal RNA". It matches the Rfam family "Bacterial small subunit ribosomal RNA", at positions 30 to 523 of the family's 1533-position model. The record is from RNAcentral.
AUUGAACGCUGGCGGCAGGCCUAACACAUGCAAGUCGAACGGUAGCACAGAGAGCUUGCUCUCGGGUGACGAGUGGCGGACGGGUGAGUAAUGUCUGGGAAACUGCCUGAUGGAGGGGGAUAACUACUGGAAACGGUAGCUAAUACCGCAUAAUGUCGCAAGACCAAAGAGGGGGACCUUCGGGCCUCUUGCCAUCGGAUGUGCCCAGAUGGGAUUAGCUUGUUGGUGAGGUAAAGGCUCACCAAGGCGACGAUCCCUAGCUGGUCUGAGAGGAUGACCAGCCACACUGGAACUGGGACACGGUCCAGACUCCUACGGGAGGCAGCAGUGGGGAAUAUUGCACAAUGGGCGCAAGCCUGAUGCAGCCAUGCCGCGUGUGUGAAGAAGGCCUUCGGGUUGUAAAGCACUUUCAGCGGGGAGGAAGGCGGUGAGUUUAAUAAGCUUGCCGAUUGACGUUACCCGCAGAAGAAGCACCGGCUAACUCCGUGCCAGCCGCCGCGGUAA